GCCAGUUUCGAAAGCCAUGCUUUUGCUGACUGCGUGCGCCAGAAGCAGUAGUGGAGCCAGGAACGCGUCGUAAGCGCCAUGUUUUGGACAUUAUUAUUUUGGAAAUUAAUUUUAAAUAACACUUCGAAGGCGAUGCUUCUGGGAUACUUCGCGUCGUUAUGUGUCUGUUGUGUACCCCCUGCGCCCCCUGCUCGCAUAUAUCUGCGGUGUCCAAAACACAAUGCCUAUGACGUAUUUUUGGCCACCAAAAUCACUUCCGCCGCAUUCAACCAGCGAAAGCAUAGCCUUCAAGAUUUGCACUCUAGAGAGUGCUACACAAUGGUCCGUCGAAGAAAGUGCCACGAGAUCAUCACCAGAGCAUCACCAGCGCUUCUGUAGAUGCCUGGAUCUGGUGUCCCAGUAUUCUACAAACUGUAAUAUGUUACACAGACAAGCCGAAGCUCUCUAGUAAGGGUCACUUUCAAAUGCCUGGCAUAAACAUGGGAAAACACAGGGAAGGCGGGAGAUGGAAAAUCAAGACGAUGAUUUUACCUUGUUCUCAUUUUGCUCAUCAUCUGGCAUAAACAUUGAGAUUUAUAAUUGCAUUUCAAAGAUUACACAUCCCUGCUGAUCAAAAAAACACCUUUAAUAUGCACAUUUUCUCUGUAGAAUUGGUGAUACGGCACUUGGGUGAGUGAUCUCAUUGGUUUCCCCUGUGACGUCAUCUAGAGUAUUGUCAGCCUGGCAGUGCUGAUCGAAUUUUUUUUGAGGGGCAUAUUUUUACAAACAGCAUUCGACUGAUUGGAUGCAACAUAUUUUUCAAAGGCAAUGAUUCUAGGACAAUUGUCAUGUGCGUUGCUAGAACAGAAUACCAUGAGAGCACUACUGCAGUUCAAGUUGACUGACACCUGCAACUGUUUAUAGACUUGGCGUGCACCUUCCUGCAUGCGCGCAGUUAGUGCCUCUCUUUUUAUGUCUUAAUCCCCUUCACUGCCAGGUAGCAAACCGGACAUGCUUCUGGUUAACUUCCCUGCCUCUCCUCAAUUCUCUCUUGUUUUAACUAACCUUCUUAUUUUGAUGUUUAAGAACAACUUCAAAAGACUGAAUUUUAAAGCUUCUAUGGAAGAAUUUCCUUACUUUAACCAACUAGAAAUAUUUUCACUUUCCAAGAAAAUUUGUGAAACACUCAACCUACCCACCAACUCUUAUAAAAAAAAAGAUUCCUAAUGUAAUCUUGAAGACAUAUGUGAAGUCCCUCUUUGAAAAACAUGUACAAGGUCUAGUGCUGCAAGCCAGGAUUGUGCUAUCAACAGGCUAUCUACCAUCCUUCUUCCUUAGAAUUUACAACUAUUUUUGGAGGGCUUCCAGUACACUUCAGUUCCAAUUGGCUCUUCUCAUUGAAAGCAGCAGUAAAGUGGUUUGUAACUGUCACAGGACGUACUUGUGGAUACACUGCAUGAAAGUAUGUAGCAUAGUGGGCACACAGCACUAUGAUUAAGGUAGCCACCUGACCGGUUUUUCCGUCAUGGUGCCAGCUGCCAGCUCAACCCUCCACACCAGCAACCCAUUUGCCAAAUUUCUGGUUCUCCCUUAAUCGACCCACUAUAUAGCUACUUUAAUUAUUUGUAUUUUUGCAUAGAUUUCGCACCUCCCCACCAACCCCUCUCAGUGCCAAGUUUUUUAUGGCAACCAUACUCAUAAAGCAAGGGAAGAGAAAUGCAAAACAGUGUUUCGUGUAUUAGCCAUUCUCGCUCUAUGUGGUCAUAGCACCUCGCAUAACAAUUUGUAGGUUCUCACUAAAAAAAUAACAUUCCUCAGCACCUAAUGCACAUUUAACAGAUUAUUCAAAAAUUAAGAGGUUCUACUCUUUGUGGUGAUCGUAUCACAGCCUAUGUUGUUUUUUUGCCACAGUUGAAUGCAGCACUUGAAGAAAAAUUUCCACCUACCUUGUGGGCCAAGUUCUUUUCAUUUUACAUUUGGAUGUUUAAUGCUGCCAAUUACCAGCAGCCAUUCGUCCCUCCAGUUCAGCUCGACUCCAUCUGUGGUCCUACUUGAAGCAGCAGCCAACUUCGUUGAAAAGCAGUCACAUGCCAGGUUUACGAGAAGACUGACUGCUUGAAAAGCAAAGCGCAAAAUGAAAGCUGCUGUGCCAAAAGCUCUGAAUUUUUCUGCUGAUAACUGAUGGCAGCUCUAACUUUGUUCUGAAGAGGACCUAUAAGGCAUGUACGUCACAGUUUGGACAAGGGCAGCUGACAUGUUAUUGGUUCUUUAACAAGCUGUAGUUUUACGUGCCAAAACCACAAUGAUUGAGGCAUGCUACAGUGGCGGACUCUGUAUUAAUUUUGACCACCUGAGGUUCUUUAACAUGCACCCAACGUAUUAUACACGGGUGUUUUUGCAUUUUGCCCCAAUUGAAAUGCGGCCGCUGUGGCCGGUAUCUAAUCCUGCGCCCUCGGGCUUAGCAGUCCAAUGCCAAAGCCACCAUGGCAGGUCAGCUACUGGUUCUUCGCUCCUGUAUGCGUUACACCCUGGGCACCAAAAACAUGGUUUGUAGUGGCACCUAUUACCUCUACAAACCAGGAUGGUGUUACUAGGUCUUAGUGAGGGGAGCUACUCCUAUAGUAUAUGCAUUGCUUAUCACAUGGUCAGUUUCAUGUGCAACUGAUGCUCAAUGACCGACCUAGCCAUGUAUUAAAUGUCACAGCAAGUCUCGAUGCCAAACACAGGGUUAUUUAGAGUUGCAAAACCAGCAGCUUUCCGGUAACAUUUUAAUACUCAUUUGGAACAGUGAGAAGUUUUGCACAAGCUCCAAAUAUUUAAUAGAUGCCACCACUGUUACUAUGAUGCAGAUUCUCUAACUAGGGUGCAAAAAUGUAAUGCACAGCAGUCAAAUACAAGGCCAGCAGGACGCACAGGCUCAAGAAAACCUGGUCAUUAAUGCACACUUUCAGGUGUGUAACUUUUCCACGAGCGAGAAAACUGCUUGAAGUCGCACCCAAACUGGCACCUAUAAUGUUUGCAACAGUAAACGUAGAUGCUGCACGUAAAUUACGUCUACGCACAGCUUGCAGAUUGGCAGCCAGAAAUUCUUUAUUCAUUAAGUAGCAAUUGUGAUUUUUUUUUCCCUUAACUGUGUGUGUGCGCGUAGCUCGCAAACCUUAGAAAUGUCUGUGCUGUGGGCUAUAACUAGGGCUCCGUGUUUUUGGAUAAAUAAAAAAAAAUCCGGUAAACACUCGCCGGUAAAAUUUUAAACAAUUCGGAGUUAUCCGAUAAACUCCGAUUUUAACGGCCAAUAUGACCCUGUUCCAUUCUUUAUCGAAAGCCUUUCAAUAAAGGGCAUGUUCUAAGCGGUCACUGAUACAUCAGCCAGCUUGGCCGAUAUAAAUGUUUCCUCACGUCAGCAGUAUCUCGUAGACUGCACUCAUUGCACAUUUAACAAAGGGCUUGUCGCCCCCAGGAGAGCGAGACAUCUUGAUACACGGUCCCCUGGUGGCACUCGUACGCCAGGGGACCGAAUCAAGUGCAAAAAGCCUGCUGGCAGAAAGCAUGGCAUGCUCACAUGACGCAUUUCUGUAGCGCGUGAACAGAAAUUUUGGGAAAGCAAAAUGGGUAUGAAACGAAAGCUUUCCAGCAACUACGUAAAGGAGUUUAGUGAUUUUGAAGAGUCGUCAUCUCAAGGAGUCACUGUUUGCAAGUUUUGUCAUGCGACAGUUAGCAUAGCCAAUAGCAAAGGCACCUUGAGAAUUGCGGAGCAUCUACAAUCGCAACGCCACGUCCAACUGAAGAAGCCCCGUCUAGACACAGGCGAGUCUUUUUUUUAACUGUUGGUGCUCCGAAUUUACGGCUAUUUGAGAGUGUAUGAAGCGUACUUUGUACAGCCUGACACGGUUUCUCCGUUUAUUGUGCACGCUUCUUCCUAUGCCAGGUGUCUUAACAGACUUCACAUGGUCGCAAUACAAUUUGUUCCCAUCAUCUUUUUAUUCGUAUCCCUUAGGCAACUAUCCCAGCAAAGCUCGCUGGAAGAAUGCAUCACACGGGCCUGAUCCAACAGACCAUGACGCAGAUGACAUCCUGUGCCAGUUUUGCCGUGCACUCUCAUGAUGGGAUUCCACUGCACCAGGCCGAUAGACCUCUUGGCAGCCUCUUUCGAAGCAAGUGUCUGGCAGCAUACACGAUACCAGGGGCUGUAAUGCAAAAUUUUCCUACAUCAGAAAGAAGUGAUGUCGAGAGUGUAAUAAAGGUGUGGCUGCACCACUCUGGCGAAAAACUGCGAAAACAGCAGGCCAAGGCUGCCACAUCUCAAUGCUCACUGGAUGUGCACUCAGAUUUUUCAGAUUAAAUGCCUCAAAGUUCAAGAGGAAUCACUUUGUUCAAGAAUAUUGCUGGCCUUGGCAAGGGCCAGCAUAGUCAUUCAUAAUAUUCUAGUCAGGAAACUGCACUUCGUUGAAGAAAUGUUGGCUUUGGCAAGUGCCACCACAGUCUUUCAUAAUAAACUCUAGUCAUUGGGAAACUGGUUAUAUUUGUGUUUGCUUUAGCAGGUGCCAUGACCAUUACCCGUAUGCAUUGCCUGCUACAGAUACUUUUUAUAACCAGCUAGAUUAAUUUUCGUUGGUAAAGAAAAAUUAUUUUCUUCCAGCCGGAAUUUCAUCCAUGAUUCAAAAGGCAGAAUUGACAUUAUCUGGGCACGGUGCUCAUGGCACCUUCAACAUGGAGUUUCGUGCGAUAGAUGAAGUAGCCGAGUCAA
Long non-coding RNA from Dermacentor andersoni, 4723 nucleotides. RefSeq lists it as uncharacterized. The record is from RefSeq and is a predicted model, not a curated record. NCBI's taxonomy places the organism in Eukaryota, Metazoa, Arthropoda, Arachnida, Ixodida, Ixodidae.